UACGAAGGGUGCGAGCGUUAUUCGGAAUGACUGGGUGUAAAGAGCGUGGAGGCGGUUUUGUAAGUCAGCUGUUAAAUAGCCCAGCUUAACUGGGCAAGUGCGGUUGAUACUACAAGGCUAGAGUACAAGAGAGAAGAGUGGAAUUCUCGGAGUAGCGGUAAAAUGCGUAGAUCUCAAGAGGAACACCGGUUGCGAAGGCGGCUCUUUGGCUUGUAACUGACGCUUAAGCGCGAAAGCGUGGGGAGCAAACAGGAUUAGAUACCCUGGUAGUCCACGCUGUAAACGAUGAUCACUAGAUGUGGGCUCUGCUUGCAAAGUCUGUGUCGUAGCUAACGCGUUAAGUGAUCCACCUGAGUAGUACGGUCGCAAGAUUAAA
Molecule: ribosomal RNA, 376 nt
Filed under: uncultured bacterium
Lineage: Bacteria
Description: bacterial SSU rRNA
Rfam family: Bacterial small subunit ribosomal RNA
Source: RNAcentral